RNAcentral lists this ribosomal RNA (506 nucleotides) under uncultured Desulfuromonas sp. Its description in RNAcentral is "bacterial SSU rRNA". It matches the Rfam family "Bacterial small subunit ribosomal RNA", at positions 400 to 896 of the family's 1533-position model. Lineage: Bacteria; Pseudomonadati; Thermodesulfobacteriota; Desulfuromonadia; Desulfuromonadales; Desulfuromonadaceae. The record is from RNAcentral.
CGUGAGUGAUGAAGGUUUUCGGAUCGUAAAGCUCUGUCAAGAGGGAAGAAACCUCAAUCGGCUAACACCCGAUUGGAUUUACGGUACCUCUAAAGGAAGCACCGGCUAACUCCGUGCCAGCAGCCGCGGUAAUACGGAGGGUGCGAGCGUUGUUCGGAAUUAUUGGGCGUAAAGCGCGUGCAGGCGGUUUGUUAAGUCUGAUGUGAAAGCCCCGGGCUCAACCUGGGAAGUGCAUUGGAAACUGGCAAACUUGAGUACGGGAGAGGGAAGUGGAAUUUCGAGUGUAGGGGUGAAAUCCGUAGAUAUUCGAAGGAACACCAGUGGCGAAGGCGGCUUCCUGGACCGAUACUGACGCUGAGACGCGAAAGCGUGGGGAGCGAACAGGAUUAGAUACCCUGGUAGUCCACGCCGUAAACGCUGGGUACUAGGUGUUGCGGGUAUUGACCCCUGCAGUGCCGAAGCUAACGCAUUAAGUACCCCGCCUGGGGAGUACGGUCGCAAGACUA